CUUAAAUUCAGAUUGUCGAAAUCCAUUGCAUCUUCGAGUUCCUUGAAAAUUGGUUCUCUUGGUGUUUCAUUACACUCUAGGACCCAAUGGAAAAUCACAAAAAAGGAUCAAAAGAUGCAUUGGUUGGUUUUUGAGGAAGGUGGACAGCCCGAUGGGACUGAAGUUGCUUAUUAUUCUCGUGGAAAGGGUUUCAUAACCGUCACGUAAGACAUAAUGAUUGCUUUCCUGUCACGGUUAUGUUCGUCCAUCACAAUUUGAAGCUCAUGCAGGUUGGGCGUCUAAAGAAAAACCGUCAGUGUCAUUCUUCUGUUUAGCUGUCUUUUAAGGAAUAUUUAUCCUCUUUAGCUGAUAGCUGACCUUGUUCUUCUGACGCAUUCCCAUUUAGAUGUUUGACAUUGCCUCAUGUCUCUGCAGCUAUGGAUACAUUUACACUUCAAAUGGAGUGUCUCUACAUGAAUUUGCUGUAUCCCUAUUGAAAGGUCGUAAGUCUUCUGUCGAAGAUAGUGAUGACCUGUGCAUAAUAUGCGCAGAUGGUGGAAACCUGGUGCUUUGUGAUGGAUGUCCAAGGGCCUUCCAUAAAGAGUGUGCAUCAUUGUCAGCUGUUCCCCGUGGUAAAUGGUACUAUAAGUAUUGUGAAAACAAGUUUCAGAGGGAGAAGUUAGCGGAGCACAAUGUAAAUGCUGUUGCUGCUGGGAGGAUUUCUUGUAUCCUUUGAAUGUUUACAGGGUUAUUACUUUCAGUUGCUUCUCUCCUGUAUAGAAAAGUUGCUUGCAUUUUUUAAUGUAAGAAAAUUUGUACUCCCUGCUGCUGUUGAAGUAAUGUCUAUAUGGACCGAGAAAUUCGGAUUCAAAGAGAUACCACCAGAUCAGCUUGUCAGCUACAAAAAAACAUGCUGGCAAAUGAUUAACCUUCAAAGGAACAUCUAUGCUGGAAAAAAUGGUUCCUAAAUGUCAGAAUCAUUCGGCAUGACGAAACUGAAACUGAUGCACCAGAUGAGUAGUAGGCUCUGCUAAAGAGGAUUCUUUUCCAUUCAACCCAUUUUGUAGAGCCAUUUCUGAUCACAUAUGUAUAUAUUACAAUCUUAUUUAAUCAAAGAGGAUGAAUUUAACUUUACAAAUUAUGAAUUUAAGAGGAUCAAAAUUUUGAAGGAUCUUUAUUACUCAAAA
Molecule: RNA transcript, 1166 nt
Organism: Lycium barbarum (goji berry)
Lineage: Eukaryota; Viridiplantae; Streptophyta; Magnoliopsida; Solanales; Solanaceae
Exons: 5
Source: RefSeq, a predicted model, not a curated record